UGGGGAAUUUUUGACAAUGGGGGAAACCCUGAUCCAGCCAUCCCGCGUGUGCGAUGAAGGCCUUCGGGUUGUAAAGCACUUUUGGCAGGAAAGAAACGUCAUGGGUUAAUACCCCGUGAAACUGACGGUACCUGCAGAAUAAGCACCGGCUAACUACGUGCCAGCAGCCGCGGUAAUACGUAGGGUGCAAGCGUUAAUCGGAAUUACUGGGCGUAAAGCGUGCGCAGGCGGUUCGGAAAGAAAGAUGUGAAAUCCCAGAGCUCAACUUUGGAACUGCAUUUUUAACUACCGGGCUAGAGUGUGUCAGAGGGAGGUGGAAUUCCGCGUGUAGGAGUGAAAUGCGUAGAUAUGCGGAGGAACUCCGAUGGCGAAGGCAGCCUCCUGGGAUAACACUGACGCUCAUGCACGAAAGCGUGGGGAGCAAACAGG
RNAcentral lists this ribosomal RNA (429 nucleotides) under Acidobacteriota bacterium. RNAcentral describes it as "Acidobacteria bacterium partial 16S ribosomal RNA". It matches the Rfam family "Bacterial small subunit ribosomal RNA", at positions 355 to 776 of the family's 1533-position model. The record is from RNAcentral. Lineage: Bacteria; Pseudomonadati; Acidobacteriota.